RNAcentral lists this ribosomal RNA (494 nucleotides) under uncultured bacterium. Its description in RNAcentral is "partial 16S ribosomal RNA". It matches the Rfam family "Bacterial small subunit ribosomal RNA", at positions 28 to 507 of the family's 1533-position model. The record is from RNAcentral.
GACGAACGCUGGCGGCGUGCCUAAUACAUGCAAGUAGAACGCUGAAGGAGGAGCUUGCUUCUCUGGAUGAGUUGCGAACGGGUGAGUAACGCGUAGGUAACCUGCCUGGUAGCGGGGGAUAACUAUUGGAAACGAUAGCUAAUACCGCAUAAUAUUAACUAUUGCAUGAUAGUCAGUUGAAAGGUGCAACUGCACCACUACCAGAUGGACCUGCGUUGUAUUAGCUAGUUGGUGGGGUAACGGCUCACCAAGGCGACGAUACAUAGCCGACCUGAGAGGGUGAUCGGCCACACUGGGACUGAGACACGGCCCAGACUCCUACGGGAGGCAGCAGUAGGGAAUCUUCGGCAAUGGACGGAAGUCUGACCGAGCAACGCCGCGUGAGUGAAGAAGGUUUUCGGAUCUAAAGCUCUGUUGUAAGAGAAGAACGAGUGUGAGAGUGGAAAGCUCACACUGUGACGGUAUCUUACCAGAAAGGGACGGCUAACUACGUG